UGCAGUCGAACGGUAACAUGUCUAGCUUGCUAGAUGAUGACGAGUGGCGGACGGGUGAGUAAUACUUAGGGAUCUGCCUUUUGGAGGGGGAUAACCAUUGGAAACGAUGGCUAAUACCGCAUAAUGUCUGUGGACCAAAGGGGGCGCUAGCGCUCUCGCCAAGAGAUGAACCUAAGCGAGAUUAGCUAGUUGGUGUGGUAAAGGCGCACCAAGGCGACGAUCUCUAGCUGUUCUGAGAGGAAGAUCAGCCACACUGGGACUGAGACACGGCCCAGACUCCUACGGGAGGCAGCAGUGGGGAAUAUUGCACAAUGGGGGAAACCCUGAUGCAGCCAUGCCGCGUGUGUGAAGAAGGCCUUCGGGUUGUAAAGCACUUUCAGUUGUGAGGAAAGGUUGGAGGUUAAUACCCUUUAGCUGUGACGUUAGCAACAGAAGAAGCACCGGCUAACUCCGUGCCAGCAGCCGCGGUAAUACGGAGGGUGCGAGCGUUAAUCGGAAUUACUGGGCGUAAAGCGCACGCAGGCGGUUGUUUAAGCUAGAUGUGAAAGCCCCGGGCUCAACCUGGGAAUAGCAUUUAGAACUGGGCAACUAGAGUCUUGGAGAGGGGAGUGGAAUUCCAGGUGUAGC
This 627-nucleotide ribosomal RNA is filed under the name uncultured bacterium. RNAcentral's name for it is "bacterial SSU rRNA". It matches the Rfam family "Bacterial small subunit ribosomal RNA", at positions 56 to 679 of the family's 1533-position model. The record is from RNAcentral.